RNAcentral lists this transfer RNA (76 nucleotides) under Anaerolineae bacterium. Its description in RNAcentral is "tRNA-Glu". It matches the Rfam family "tRNA". From Rfam's summary of the family: Transfer RNA (tRNA) molecules are approximately 80 nucleotides in length. Their secondary structure includes four short double-helical elements and three loops (D, anti-codon, and T loops). Further hydrogen bonds mediate the characteristic L-shaped molecular structure. tRNAs have two regions of fundamental functional importance: the anti-codon, which is responsible for specific mRNA codon recognition, and the 3' end, to which the tRNAs corresponding amino acid is attached (by aminoacyl-tRNA synthetases). tRNAs cope with the degeneracy of the genetic code in two manners: having more than one tRNA (with a specific anti-codon) for a particular amino acid; and 'wobble' base-pairing, i.e. permitting non-standard base-pairing at the 3rd anti-codon position. The record is from RNAcentral. Lineage: Bacteria; Bacillati; Chloroflexota; Anaerolineae. RNAcentral also lists the same sequence under 2 other names.
GGCCCAUUCGUCUAGAGGCCUAGGAUACAGCCCUCUCAAGGCUGGGACACGGGUUCGAGUCCCGUAUGGGCCACCA